This 1669-nucleotide unclassified non-coding RNA is filed under the name Nilaparvata lugens (brown planthopper). Its description in RNAcentral is "uncharacterized LOC111063661, transcript variant X1". The record is from RNAcentral. Lineage: Eukaryota; Metazoa; Arthropoda; Insecta; Hemiptera; Delphacidae.
UCAAUCAGUCAAUGCAAGUCGCCGUGUCCACAUCAACAUGCCUUCUAAAACGCCAUCAACGCUACUAGGUCUAACCUUUUUCAGGUUCUCACUUUUCCUAUCUCAAAAGUUAAUUUGUUAAUUGUCCAUUCAACGGGUAAAAUUUUGAGCCUACAACAUUGAAAGUAUUUUCACUAGUGCUCACAUCAUACGGGCAGAGGUCACUUGCAGACAGAAAAUGGGUUUGGGGAGAGAGUCAGAGAUCAGCUUUCGAUCAGGACAGGUUGAGGGGUGAUUUCAGUGUAGCUAAACCACUCAUAAGCUCUCCCAAUGGAGCAGCUUUCAAUAAGCAGAUUCCAUUGUUCCAAGUAGCUGACAAUCCCAGGACAGAUUCCAAAAAUUUCAGGGAUUCGUCAUUAAAGGAAAGCCGUCCUCGCUACCAGGUGUUCGAAGGAGGUGAAAAUUCAGGAGGCAUUGGCGAACCGAUCCCUUCAGCGGCCAGCAACUUUGGCCCCUUGAACCGCCCCAACAAUGGUCCCAUAAAUGGUCCUAUAAAUGGCCCCAUAAACGGCCCCUUGAAUGGCCUUGGCCCCUUGAACGGUCCAGGUCCGUUAAACGGUCUUCCGCCCCCGCGACCAGCCCAUCAUCAACCACCCCCGAAUCCUGCCAACGGUGUUCUCACUGGACCGGUGCCUUCCUGGGAACAACCGCCUCCACCAAAGAACGGUGACCCGACUAGCUUUGAUUCGUGCAAAUGUGUGCAUUCUUUCAACUGCAAAUCGCCUGGACUACAGUUUGGAAGCUGUGAUACGGGAAAGCAGUAUUGCUGUACAAACAACCAAGGAUAUGGAUUGCAAGCAGCUGGCGCAGGAGGAGGUGGCUUCGGUAGUAAAUACGGUUCAAAUUUUGGCGGCAACAGAGAUGAUCUCCCUGCAGUACUUGCUGGUCCCGGCGGACCCGUAGACAAAAUACCGGGUCGGUUUCCCCCUCCACUCACCAGUGACCGACUUCCAUUCGAUGUCUACAUAAGGAGCAAUAAUGUAAAAAAGAACUGAUCAAUAUUUGUACCAAUAUAAAUUAUUCAUACAUAACGGCACUCAUAGUUACCAUAUUUUGUGAUAUCAUCAUCAUCAUCAUUGACUAUACGGUCAAAUUCGCAGUAUCAUUGUGUAUAGUAUGUUUCUUUAUAAGAAUAAUAUUUAUACAAUUCCAAAACUAGUUGAAUUGAGGAUGAGCCAAUAAAAAUUGUUUAAACUCCAAAUCAAAACUGAUGUAAACAUAGACUUCCUUUCAAUAUAAUCAGAAUGGAAGAGAAUAAUAAAAUAGUAUAAGAGUAUUAAUAAAUUAGAUAACUCACAAAAUACUAGAUACUCGUAUUUUCAUUCAUAUCCACCUUUUAGAUUAUUUCUAUUUCUUAUACUUUAUAGAAUUGAAUAGCAUUUUGACUGCCUUAACGUUUUGUUUCGGAGUGCGAACUUUUUGAAGUGUGAGUGGGAGCGCAGCCGGUGCACUGUUGACAAUUGACUACAAUGGUAUACAUAUAGAGAGUGUUUCAGAAGUAGUGUCGAACAUUUUAGGAUAUUGUUCCUGGAUGAUAGGAGACUACAAAUGAUGUAUUUGAAGCGUCCAAAACUCAACGGUUAUCCUUAUAGCUGCCAUUUUGUUUUUUUUUUCACUUAGAAUUUUUUAU